UGUGCUGCCCGGGGAUUGGUGAACGCCGGGCUGGGCGGGGCCGGAAGAGCCGCGGCCGGGUGCCGUGCUCCCGCGCGGGGCGGGGCCGGUGCGGCCACGCGGUGCGAGGCGGAAGUCGGCGGCCGAGGGUCCGUGGGACGCGUGAGGAGUCGACUUGUGCUUGUCCAGAAAAAAAUGAGAGCUCCCACAUUCUGCUGUCAUUUCUACUCCAGUCCUGUGCUUCACCUCAGUAGGCUGUGAGGAUUUAAGGAAGUCAAAAGAAACCUCAGCAAUGCAAAGAAAUGGAUGAGAGGCAGGAUCGAUAGUUCUUUGGUGUUACCAGACCCUGAACUUCAGUUAAACUGAUCUACUCAGCUCCACCACUGGGCAGCCCUCAACGUUUUCCUGCCGACAUGAGAAGCAUUGCUGCAAAGUCUGAGAGGGAAGAGCCAUCCAAAAUCCAGUGUCUGUGACUUGGGAGAGGCAGUCUGUUACAAAAGCCUUUGCUCUCCGCCUUAUAAACUGAAUGGGAGGAAAAAACGCAGAUGACUUUCUCACCCUGACUGCUGUGGAAAUGGUGAAUUUGCUCGGUAUUCAUCACCUGCGACUGUCACCGGGCUACAGAUCAUCUGCACUCCGUGCUCUGAGGAGACAAUCUGCUGAGACAGGGGUGAGGCACGGAACGGAAAAAAAAACAAAAAUAAAAAAAAUCAGUCAGGUCGGGGACUGGGUUUGGUUGGUUCUGGUUGCUUGGUUUCUUUGUUGUGUUGUUUUUGUUUUGUUUGGGCUUUUGUUGUU
Long non-coding RNA from Apus apus (common swift), 777 nucleotides. RefSeq lists it as uncharacterized. The transcript is spliced from 5 exons. Lineage: Eukaryota; Metazoa; Chordata; Aves; Apodiformes; Apodidae. The record is from RefSeq and is a predicted model, not a curated record.